GAUGAACGCUGGCGGCGUGCCUAAUACAUGCAAGUCGAGCGAACAGACGAGGAGCUUGCUCCUCUGACGUUAGCGGCGGACGGGUGAGUAACACGUGGAUAACCUACCUAUAAGACUGGGAUAACUUCGGGAAACCGGAGCUAAUACCGGAUAAUAUAUUGAACCGCAUGGUUCAAUAGUGAAAGACGGUUUUGCUGUCACUUAUAGAUGGAUCCGCGCCGCAUUAGCUAGUUGGUAAGGUAACGGCUUACCAAGGCGACGAUGCGUAGCCGACCUGAGAGGGUGAUCGGCCACACUGGAACUGAGACACGGUCCAGACUCCUACGGGAGGCAGCAGUAGGGAAUCUUCCGCAAUGGGCGAAAGCCUGACGGAGCAACGCCGCGUGAGUGAUGAAGGUCUUCGGAUCGUAAAACUCUGUUAUUAGGGAAGAACAAAUGUGUAAGUAACUAUGCACGUCUUGACGGUACCUAAUCAGAAAGCCACGGAUAACUACGUG
This 497-nucleotide ribosomal RNA is filed under the name uncultured bacterium. Its description in RNAcentral is "partial 16S ribosomal RNA". It matches the Rfam family "Bacterial small subunit ribosomal RNA", at positions 28 to 507 of the family's 1533-position model. The record is from RNAcentral.